Molecule: long non-coding RNA, 685 nt
Organism: Marmota monax (woodchuck)
Lineage: Eukaryota; Metazoa; Chordata; Mammalia; Rodentia; Sciuridae
Exons: 4
Source: RefSeq, a predicted model, not a curated record
UGUAAGGCCAAACCCCGCCUCCUCCAUCCUGCCCCCCCAGCAUCCCGAUGGAGACUGCAGGAUGCUGACACAGAAAGCCUGCAGUUGCUGGGAGCUUCUCCAGGAUGCAGCCUGUGCGAGGAAAAAGGUUUGGACAAGAAGAAGAAGAGGAAAGAGAAACAAAAGUCCUCGGUUUGAGUCAGGGACAGAUUUCGAGCUGAGAGCUGGUUGCUGGGUGGGGGCUGUGGAAGGGACACAUGCAGUUCCUGGUUAUGGCUCUUCUGCCCCCUGACCCACCUUGCGAAGCUCCUGUCAACCCAGAGGGGGGACUCAGCUGCAGCAGGAAGUGGCCUCUCAGGAAGGACUCAGGGCAAGCAAGUGCAGGGAAGAGUGGAGAAGCUGGUUUCUAAUUCCCAGAGCAUCUGAAGUCAGCACUCUUGGAUUUCUAAUUUGGCAUGGAGGCUGAUCCAGGAGCAAAAUUCCCCCACAGCAGGACCUACCUCAGGUUUAAGGAAGCCAAUCUCCUAGGCAAGGUGACCUCCAGCCCUAAAAAGGAUCUACCCAGCCUGUCUAAAGAUGAUUCUCCAUUCGGAAGGGUAAGAAAAAAGACUGAGGCGCAGCCCAAGAGCCCAGGGAAGGAUUUAGGAAGUGAAGAGCUCAUAAUGAAUGGCUAUUCUUGGGUUUUGGUUCCAAGGCAGAAAAUCUG